RNAcentral lists this ribosomal RNA (994 nucleotides) under uncultured bacterium. RNAcentral describes it as "bacterial SSU rRNA". It matches the Rfam family "Bacterial small subunit ribosomal RNA", at positions 8 to 1002 of the family's 1533-position model. The record is from RNAcentral.
AGAGUUUGAUCCUGGCUCAGAACGAACGCUGGCGGCGUGCUUAACACAUGCAAGUCGCGUGCGCAGUUCGCGUAGCAAUACGUGGAUGGGCGCACGGCGCACGGGUGCGUAACACGUGGGCAACCUGCCCUCUGAUGGGGAAUAACCCCGCGAAAGCGGGGCUAAUACCGCAUAACAUUCCUUGGAUUAUGGUUUGAGGAAUCAAAGCAGUGAUGCGUCGGAGGAGGGGCCCGCGCCCGAUUAGGUAGUUGGUGAGGUAACGGCUCACCAAGCCAAUGAUCGGUAGCUGGUCUGAGAGGAUGAUCAGCCACACUGGAACUGAGACACGGUCCAGACUCCUACGGGAGGCAGCAGUGGGGAAUCUUGCACAAUGGGCGAAAGCCUGAUGCAGCGACGCCGCGUGGGGGAUGAAGCUUUUCGGAGUGUAAACCCCUUUCGACCGGGACGAAUGCCCGCAAGGGAGUGACGGUACCGGUAUAAGAAGCCCCGGCUAACUACGUGCCAGCAGCCGCGGUAAGACGUAGGGGGCCAGCGUUGUUCGGAAUUACUGGGUGUAAAGGGUUCGUAGGCGGUGUGGCAAGUCGGGAGUGAAAUCUCUGGGCUCAACUCAGAGGCUGCUUCCGAAACUGCUGUGCUUGAGUGUGAGAGAGGCUCGUGGAAUUGCAGGUGUAGCGGUGAAAUGCGUAGAUAUCUGCAGGAACACCCGUGGCGAAAGCGGCGAGCUGGAUCACUACUGACGCUGAGGAACGAAAGCUAGGGGAGCAAACAGGAUUAGAUACCCUGGUAGUCCUAGCCCUAAACGAUCAGGACUUGGGGUGCCACCCGUUCGGGUGUCGUCCCGGAGCUAACGCGUUAAGUCCUGCACCUGGGGAGUACGGUCGCAAGACUGAAACUCAAGGAAUUGACGGGGGCCCGCACAAGCGGUGGAACAUGUGGUUCAAUUCGACGCUACGCGAGGAACCUUACCUGGGCUCGAAAUGCUAGUGACCAGCUG